GGCGCACGGGUGAGUAACACGUGAAUAAUCUACCUCCGAGUGGGGAAUAACUGAGGGAAACCUUAGCUAAUACCGCAUAAUACCUACGGGUCAAAGGAGCAAUUCGCUUUGGGAGGGGGUCUUCGGCGAUUAGUUAGUUGGGGGGUAAUGGCCACCAAGACAGUGAUCGGUAUCCGGCUGAAGGGGCACGGAACAUGGAACUGAAACACGGUCCAGACUCCUACGGGAGGCAGCAGUGGGGAAUUUUGCGCAAUGGGGGAAACCCUGACGCAGCAACGCCGCGUGGAGGAUGAAGUACUUCGGUACGUAAACUCCUUUCGAUCGGGACGAUAAUGACGGUACCGGAAGAAGAAGCCCCGGUAACUUCGUGCCAGCAGCCGCGGUAAUACGAGGGGGGCAAGCGUUGUUCGGAAUUAUUGGGCGUAAAGGGUGCGUAGGCGGUUUGGUAAGUCUUUUGUGAAAUCUACGGGCUCAACUCGUAGACUGCAAGGGAAACUGCCGGGCUUGAGUAUGGGAGAG
RNAcentral lists this ribosomal RNA (519 nucleotides) under uncultured bacterium. RNAcentral's name for it is "bacterial SSU rRNA". It matches the Rfam family "Bacterial small subunit ribosomal RNA", at positions 97 to 656 of the family's 1533-position model. The record is from RNAcentral.